RNAcentral lists this ribosomal RNA (941 nucleotides) under Protoperidinium divergens. Its description in RNAcentral is "LSU rRNA". It matches the Rfam family "Eukaryotic large subunit ribosomal RNA", at positions 23 to 964 of the family's 3401-position model. The record is from RNAcentral. Lineage: Eukaryota; Dinophyceae; Peridiniales; Protoperidiniaceae.
ACCCGCUGAAUUUAAGCAUAUAAGUAGGCGGUGGAUAAGAAUCUCAUAAGGACCCCUUUAGCAAUGGCGAAUGCAUCAGGGCAGGCUCAGUCUGGAAAUCAGAUCAUAUUGCCAUGAGUUGUAGGCAAGCGAUGUGCUACCAAUUGAGAUGCAGUAAGAUGCCCUUGGAAAAGAGCAUAGAUAAGGGUGACAAUCCUUUGUGUCGUCUGCAGCCUUCAGUGCACGGUGUAUCUUCUAUGAGUCAUGCACCUCGGGAAUAGUGCGUGAAACAGGUGGUACAAUUCAUGCAAAGCAGUAUCUUUGUUUGAGACCCCUAGCGAACAAGUACCAUGAGGGAAUGGUGAAACAGGACUCUGUAAAGAGAGGUAACAGUGUCUGAACCUGCUGGAAGGGACAUGGAGGGCACCAGUGUAGCCUGGUGAGAUUGUUGUGUGCGCGCGUGAUUGCCUGCUGCAUUUAGCAAUGGUGCAUUAGGUCUGAGGCAAAACACAUACAUUGUUUCUAACCGACCAGCCACCACCAGUUCAUUGCAUUAGAACACCACCAGGAUUUAUGGCAGCCUGCCUCGGUGCGGGUGAACACUUUUGUCCAACUUGUGCAUGCCCUGCUCGGAACAAUGCGUGGGCCCGUUCAUCCCGUCUUGAAACACGGACCAAGGAGUCUAGCAUUCCUGCGAGCUCAUGGGUGUCAACUAUCUAUGAUUGCGCAACGAAAAUAUUGGCUGGUAUAUGUGCAUCGGCAACAAACUUUUUCGAUGAUGGAAAGUAUGAGUGUGAGCGCGCCUGCUAGGACCCGAAAGAUGGUGAGCUAUGCCUGUGGAAGGCAAACCCAGGGGAAACUCUGACGGAAGCCUGUAGCGGUACUGACGUGCAAAUCGUUCGUUGUAUAUGGGUAUGGGGGCGAAAGACUAAUCGAACCAUCUAGUAGCUGGUUCCCUCCGA